GAUGAACGCUGGCGGCGUGCUUAACACAUGCAAGUCGAACGGGGAUUAUUUUGACAGAGACUUCGGUUGAAGUCGUUAUAAUCCUAGUGGCGGACGGGUGAGUAACGCGUGGGUAACCUGCCUCACACUGGGGGAUAACAGUCAGAAAUGACUGCUAAUACCGCAUAAGCGCACGGGAUUGCAUGAUCCAGUGUGAAAAACUCCGGUGGUGUGAGAUGGACCCGCGUCUGAUUAGCUGGUUGGUGAGGUAACGGCUCACCAAGGCGACGAUCAGUAGCCGACCUGAGAGGGUGACCGGCCACAUUGGGACUGAGACACGGCCCAAACUCCUACGGGAGGCAGCAGUGGGGAAUAUUGCACAAUGGGGGAAACCCUGAUGCAGCGACGCCGCGUGAGUGAAGAAGUAUUUCGGUAUGUAAAGCUCUAUCAGCAGGGAAGAGAAUGACGGUACCUGACUAAGAAGCCCCGGCUAACUACGUGCCAGCAGCCGCGGUAAUACGUAGGGGGCAAGCGUUAUCCGGAUUUACUGGGUGUAAAGGGAGCGUAGACGGCUUAGCAAGUCUGAAGUGAAAGCCCGGGGCUCAACCCCGGGACUGCUUUGGAAACUGUUAAGCUGGAGUGCUGGAGAGGUAAGCGGAAUUCCUAGUGUAGCGGUGAAAUGCGUAGAUAUUAGGAGGAACACCAGUGGCGAAGGCGGCUUACUGGACAGUAACUGACGUUGAGGCUCGAAAGCGUGGGGAGCAAACAG
This 748-nucleotide ribosomal RNA is filed under the name uncultured bacterium. RNAcentral describes it as "bacterial SSU rRNA". It matches the Rfam family "Bacterial small subunit ribosomal RNA", at positions 28 to 775 of the family's 1533-position model. The record is from RNAcentral.